Molecule: ribosomal RNA, 460 nt
Filed under: uncultured bacterium
Lineage: Bacteria
Description: partial 16S ribosomal RNA
Rfam family: Bacterial small subunit ribosomal RNA
Source: RNAcentral
CCUACGGGAGGCAGCAGUGGGGAAUAUUGGUCAAUGGACGCAAGCCUGACCCAGCAAAGUAGCGUGAAUGAUGAAUGCCCUAUGGGUUGUAAGCUUCUUUUAUAUAGAAGUAGAGUGCGGUGUGUCUUCUGCUUUGAAUGUACCUUAUGAAUGUGGAUCGGCUAACGCCGUGCCAGCAGCCGCGGUAAUACGGAGGAUCCGCGCGUUGUUCGGAUUUAGUGGGGGUAAAGGGAGCGUAGGUGGGUUGUUAAGUCAGUUGUGAAAGUUUGCGGGUCAACCUUAAAAUUUCAAUUGAUACUGGUAGCCUUGAGUACAGGAGAGGCAGGCGGAAUUCGUGGUGUAGCGGUGAAAUGCUUAGAUAUCACGAAGAACUCCGAUGGCGAAGGCAGCUUGCUGGACUGUAACUGACGCUGAUGCUCGAAAGUGUGGGUAUCAAACAGGAGUAGAUACCCGUGUAGUC